UUCUUUCCCGCUCUGGCAGUAGUAUUUCAUGGGUUGAGCUGGAAGGACAUGUUUUUUCAAAUGUAAUUUAAGAGCCGUGCUUCUUUGAGAGCUUAACAUCUUCACGGAGAAUCCUGUGUGUAAGAUCAGUGUGUGAGGGUAAAGCAGCCAUUCCAUAAAUGGUUGUCUUCAUAUCUGGAAUUCAACAUUGAAUAUUGAAUAUUUAAUAUGUAGCACUAUAAUAAAGUAUAAAACAACCUUAUAAAAGGUUUACAUGUCUUAAAUCUUCCUGAACAUUAACGAACCCGCACUCGUGGAACAAUAUAAUUAGGUAUAAUUAUUAUAUAGAUACCACCAGUGUUACAUUUAUGGC
Dreissena polymorpha is the source of this 352-nucleotide long non-coding RNA. RefSeq lists it as uncharacterized. The transcript is spliced from 3 exons. The record is from RefSeq and is a predicted model, not a curated record. NCBI's taxonomy places the organism in Eukaryota, Metazoa, Mollusca, Bivalvia, Myida, Dreissenidae.